CCGUAGGUGAACCUGCGGAGGGAUCAUUACCGAGUUUACAACUCCCAAACCCSKGUGAACAUACCACUUNGNUUGCCUCGGCGGAUCAGCCCGCUCCCGGUAAAACGGGACGGCCCGCCAGAGGACCCCUAAACUCUGUUUCUAUAUGUAACUUCUGAGUAAAACCAUAAAUAAAUCAAAACUUUCAACAACGGAUCUCUUGGUUCUGGCAUCGAUGAAGAACGCAGCAAAAUGCGAUAAGUAAUGUGAAUUGCAGAAUUCAGUGAAUCAUCGAAUCUUUGAACGCACAUUGCGCCCGCCAGUAUUCUGGCGGGCAUGCCUGUUCGAGCGUCAUUUCAACCCUCAAGCACAGCUUGGUGUUGGGACUCGCGUUAAUUCGCGUUCCUCAAAUUGAUUGGCGGUCACGUCGAGCUUCCAUAGCGUAGUAGUAAAACCCUCGUUACUGGUAAUCGUCGCGGCCACGCCGUUAAACCCCAACUUCUGAAUGUUGACCUCGGAUCAGGUAGGAAUACCCGCUGAACUUAAGCAUAUCAAUAAGCGGAGG
RNAcentral lists this ribosomal RNA (544 nucleotides) under fungal endophyte. RNAcentral describes it as "eukaryotic LSU rRNA". Lineage: Eukaryota; Fungi. The record is from RNAcentral.